This 1433-nucleotide ribosomal RNA is filed under the name Escherichia coli. Its description in RNAcentral is "bacterial LSU rRNA". It matches the Rfam family "Bacterial large subunit ribosomal RNA", at positions 668 to 2081 of the family's 2925-position model. The record is from RNAcentral. Lineage: Bacteria; Pseudomonadati; Pseudomonadota; Gammaproteobacteria; Enterobacterales; Enterobacteriaceae.
GAAGGGAAACCGAGUCUUAACUGGGCGUUAAGUUGCAGGGUAUAGACCCGAAACCCGGUGAUCUAGCCAUGGGCAGGUUGAAGGUUGGGUAACACUAACUGGAGGACCGAACCGACUAAUGUUGAAAAAUUAGCGGAUGACUUGUGGCUGGGGGUGAAAGGCCAAUCAAACCGGGAGAUAGCUGGUUCUCCCCGAAAGCUAUUUAGGUAGCGCCUCGUGAAUUCAUCUCCGGGGGUAGAGCACUGUUUCGGCAAGGGGGUCAUCCCGACUUACCAACCCGAUGCAAACUGCGAAUACCGGAGAAUGUUAUCACGGGAGACACACGGCGGGUGCUAACGUCCGUCGUGAAGAGGGAAACAACCCAGACCGCCAGCUAAGGUCCCAAAGUCAUGGUUAAGUGGGAAACGAUGUGGGAAGGCCCAGACAGCCAGGAUGUUGGCUUAGAAGCAGCCAUCAUUUAAAGAAAGCGUAAUAGCUCACUGGUCGAGUCGGCCUGCGCGGAAGAUGUAACGGGGCUAAACCAUGCACCGAAGCUGCGGCAGCGACGCUGAUGCGUUGUUGGGUAGGGGAGCGUUCUGUAAGCCUGCGAAGGUGUGCUGUGAGGCAUGCUGGAGGUAUCAGAAGUGCGAAUGCUGACAUAAGUAACGAUAAAGCGGGUGAAAAGCCCGCUCGCCGGAAGACCAAGGGUUCCUGUCCAACGUUAAUCGGGGCAGGGUGAGUCGACCCCUAAGGCGAGGCCGAAAGGCGUAGUCGAUGGGAAACAGGUUAAUAUUCCUGUACUUGGUGUUACUGCGAAGGGGGGACGGAGAAGGCUAUGUUGGCCGGGCGACGGUUGUCCCGGUUUAAGCGUGUAGGCUGGUUUUCCAGGCAAAUCCGGAAAAUCAAGGCUGAGGCGUGAUGACGAGGCACUACGGUGCUGAAGCAACAAAUGCCCUGCUUCCAGGAAAAGCCUCUAAGCAUCAGGUAACAUCAAAUCGUACCCCAAACCGACACAGGUGGUCAGGUAGAGAAUACCAAGGCGCUUGAGAGAACUCGGGUGAAGGAACUAGGCAAAAUGGUGCCGUAACUUCGGGAGAAGGCACGCUGAUAUGUAGGUGAGGUCCCUCGCGGAUGGAGCUGAAAUCAGUCGAAGAUACCAGCUGGCUGCAACUGUUUAUUAAAAACACAGCACUGUGCAAACACGAAAGUGGACGUAUACGGUGUGACGCCUGCCCGGUGCCGGAAGGUUAAUUGAUGGGGUUAGCGGUAACGCGAAGCUCUUGAUCGAAGCCCCGGUAAACGGCGGCCGUAACUAUAACGGUCCUAAGGUAGCGAAAUUCCUUGUCGGGUAAGUUCCGACCUGCACGAAUGGCGUAAUGAUGGCCAGGCUGUCUCCACCCGAGACUCAGUGAAAUUGAACUCGCUGUGAAGAUGCAGUGUACCCGCGGCAAGAC